UACGAAGGGGGCUAGCGUUGCUCGGAAUCACUGGGCGUAAAGCGCACGUAGGCGGAUUGCUAAGUCAGGGGUGAAAUCCUGGAGCUCAACUCCAGAACUGCCUUUGAUACUGGCGACCUUGAGUCCGGGAGAGGUGAGUGGAACUGCGAGUGUAGAGGUGAAAUUCGUAGAUAUUCGCAAGAACACCAGUGGCGAAGGCGGCUCACUGGCCCGGUACUGACGCUGAGGUGCGAAAGCGUGGGGAGCAACAGGGAUUAAGAAACCC
RNAcentral lists this ribosomal RNA (265 nucleotides) under uncultured bacterium. RNAcentral describes it as "partial 16S ribosomal RNA". It matches the Rfam family "Bacterial small subunit ribosomal RNA", at positions 524 to 788 of the family's 1533-position model. The record is from RNAcentral.